Molecule: ribosomal RNA, 1372 nt
Filed under: uncultured bacterium
Lineage: Bacteria
Description: bacterial SSU rRNA
Rfam family: Bacterial small subunit ribosomal RNA
Source: RNAcentral
GAUGAACGCUGGCGGCGUGCCUAAUACAUGCAAGUCGAGCGAACGGACGAGAAGCUUGCUUCUCUGAUGUUAGCGGCGGACGGGUGAGUAACACGUGGAUAACCUACCUAUAAGACUGGGAUAACUUCGGGAAACCGGAGCUAAUACCGGAUAAUAUUUUGAACCGCAUGGUUCAAAAGUGAAAGACGGUCUUGCUGUCACUUAUAGAUGGAUCCGCGCUGCAUUAGCUAGUUGGUAAGGUAACGGCUUACCAAGGCAACGAUGCAUAGCCGACCUGAGAGGGUGAUCGGCCACACUGGAACUGAGACACGGUCCAGACUCCUACGGGAGGCAGCAGUAGGGAAUCUUCCGCAAUGGGCGAAAGCCUGACGGAGCAACGCCGCGUGAGUGAUGAAGGUCUUCGGAUCGUAAAACUCUGUUAUUAGGGAAGAACAUAUGUGUAAGUAACUGUGCACAUCUUGACGGUACCUAAUCAGAAAGCCACGGCUAACUACGUGCCAGCAGCCGCGGUAAUACGUAAGUGGCAAGCGUUAUCCGGAAUUAUUGGGCGUAAAGCGCGCGUAGGCGGUUUUUUAAGUCUGAUGUGAAAGCCCACGGCUCAACCGUGGAGGGUCAUUGGAAACUGGAAAACUUGAGUGCAGAAGAGGAAAGUGGAAUUCCAUGUGUAGCGGUGAAAUGCGCAGAGAUAUGGAGGAACACCAGUGGCGAAGGCGACUUUCUGGUCUGUAACUGACGCUGAUGUGCGAAAGCGUGGGGAUCAAACAGGAUUAGAUACCCUGGUAGUCCACGCCGUAAACGAUGAGUGCUAAGUGUUAGGGGGUUUCCGCCCCUUAGUGCUGCAGCUAACGCAUUAAGCACUCCGCCUGGGGAGUACGACCGCAAGGUUGAAACUCAAAGGAAUUGACGGGGACCCGCACAAGCGGUGGAGCAUGUGGUUUAAUUCGAAGCAACGCGAAGAACCUUACCAAAUCUUGACAUCCUUUGACAACUCUAGAGAUAGAGCUUUCCCCUUCGGGGGACAAAGUGACAGGUGGUGCAUGGUUGUCGUCAGCUCGUGUCGUGAGAUGUUGGGUUAAGUCCCGCAACGAGCGCAACCCUUAAGCUUAGUUGCCAUCAUUAAGUUGGGCACUCUAAGUUGACUGCCGGUGACAAACCGGAGGAAGGUGGGGAUGACGUCAAAUCAUCAUGCCCCUUAUGAUUUGGGCUACACACGUGCUACAAUGGACAAUACAAAGGGCAGCGAAACCGUGAGGUCAAGCAAAUCCCAUAAAGUUGUUCUCAGUUCGGAUUGUAGUCUGCAACUCGACUACAUGAAGCUGGAAUCGCUAGUAAUCGUAGAUCAGCAUGCUACGGUGAAUACGUUCCCGGGUCU